Molecule: ribosomal RNA, 774 nt
Filed under: uncultured Neocallimastigales
Lineage: Eukaryota; Fungi; Neocallimastigomycota; Neocallimastigomycetes; Neocallimastigales
Description: partial large subunit ribosomal RNA
Rfam family: Eukaryotic large subunit ribosomal RNA
Source: RNAcentral
UAUCUCUGUAGAGUCUGCAUAUCAAUAAGCGGAGGAAAAGAAACUAACAAGGAUUCCCUUAGUAACGGCGAGUGAAGCGGGAAGAGCUCAAAUUUGAAAUCUUCAAGGUUCUACCUUGACGAAUUGUAGUUUAAAGAAGUGUUUUCUGUUAGAUGAGUAGCAAAAGUUCCUUGGAAUGGGACAUCAUAGAGGGUGAGAAUCCCGUAUUUGGUUAUUCAUUCUAGCUUUGUGAUACACUUUCAAAGAGUCGGAUUGUUUGGGAAUGCAGUCCAAAAUGGGUGGUAAAUUUCAUCUAAAGCUAAAUAUUGGCGAGAGACCGAUAGCGAACAAGUACCGUGAGGGAAAGAUGAAAAGAACUUUGAAAAGAGAGUUAAACAGUACGUGAAAUUGUCAAAAGGGAAGCGUUUGACACCAGUGUUGUUUUUCCGAAAAUCAAUUACGAAUGGCUUGAUUUUGUGUUGUAUUGACCUUAUCAGCUUUCUGCACUUUUUUCGAGUCUUUCUUAAUGCACUUUUCGGUUAACAAGUCAACAUCAAUUUCUUUUGUUGUAAAAGAGUAUUCGGAAGGUGGCUUUCUUUUCGGAGAAAGUGUUUAUAGCCCUAUACUUCUACAAUCGGAGAGAUUGAGGUCUGCAGCGUAGAUCCUUCGGGGUUAGAUACAUUUGUGCUAAGUUGUAGCUUUUCAUAGACAACUUGUUGACUAUGUUUAGUCAUGCGGCUUACUCGCUUAUGCUAUUUUACCUACGCUUAGGAUGUUGACUGAUAUGUAGUCGUA